AGCGGCGAACGGGUGAGUAACACGUAGGUGAUCUGCCCAUCAGACGGGGACAACGAUUGGAAACGAUCGCUAAUACCGGAUAGGACGAAAGUUUAAAGGUGCUUCUGGCACCGCUGAUGGAUGAGCCUGCGGCGCAUUAGCUAGUUGGUAGGGUAAAGGCCUACCAAGGCGACGAUGCGUAGCCGACCUGAGAGGGUGAACGGCCACACUGGGACUGAGACACGGCCCAGACUCCUACGGGAGGCAGCAGUAGGGAAUCUUCGGCAAUGGGCGAAAGCCUGACCGAGCAACGCCGCGUGAAUGAUGAAGGCCUUCGGGUUGUAAAAUUCUGUUAUAAGGGAAGAACGACUUUAGUAGGAAAUGGCUAGAGUGUGACGGUACCUUAUGAGAAAGCCACGGCUAACUACGUGCCAGCAGCCGCGGUAAUACGUAGGUGGCGAGCGUUAUCCGGAAUUAUUGGGCGUAAAGAGCGCGCAGGUGGUUGAUUAAGUCUGAUGUGAAAGCCCACGGCUUAACCGUGGAGGGUCAUUGGAAACUGGUCGACUUGAGUGCAGAAGAGGGAAGUGGAAUUCCAUGUGUAGCGGUGAAAUGCGUAGAGAUAUGGAGGAACACCAGUGGCGAAGGCGGCUUCCUGGUCUGUAACUGACACUGAGGCGCGAAAGCGUGGGGAGCAAACAGGAUUGGAUACCCUGGUAGUCCACGCCGUAAACGAUGAGUGCUAAGUGU
This 726-nucleotide ribosomal RNA is filed under the name uncultured bacterium. RNAcentral's name for it is "bacterial SSU rRNA". It matches the Rfam family "Bacterial small subunit ribosomal RNA", at positions 94 to 823 of the family's 1533-position model. The record is from RNAcentral.